CCCUAUUAUGUUAUAAAGGAAUAUAAUUAGUAUAUUAUAUUGAAAAUUAAUAAUCUUGGCGGUUAAUUAUUAGUUAGAGGAGCUUGUUUUGUAAAAGUAAUAACACUUUAUAUUUAUAUAAUUGAAGUUUAUUCAUCUCCGUUAUUAGAUAGGAUAUUAAAAAAGGAGUUUCUUUAAUUUCAGGUCAAGAUGUAGCAUUGAUUAAAAAUAAAAAUUAGCUACAAUAUUAAUUGAUAUAGGCUUUUAUUAGGAAAAAUAUAAGGGGAUUAAAUUUAAUUGUAAUAUGAUAUUUAAAAAGAUAAUAUGAAUAUUUAUUAUUAAUGUA
This 325-nucleotide ribosomal RNA is filed under the name Eusarcus hastatus. Its description in RNAcentral is "partial 12S ribosomal RNA". The record is from RNAcentral. Lineage: Eukaryota; Metazoa; Arthropoda; Arachnida; Opiliones; Gonyleptidae.